AGUGAACGUUGGCGGCGUGGAUUAGGCAUGCAAGUCGAGCGAGAACCGUAGCAAUACGGGGACAGCGGCGAACGGGACAGUAAUGUGUAGGUACCUACCCCUGGGUCCGGGAUAGCUGCGGGAAACUGCAGGUAAUACCGGAUAAUGUCUUCGGACCAAAGGUGUGAUUCCACCUUGGGAGGGGCCUGCAUCCUAUUAGCUUGUUGGCGGGGUAACGGCCCACCAAGGCAACGAUGGGUAGCGGGUGUGAGAGCACGACCCGCGUCAUUGGGACUGAGGCACUUCCCAUACACCUACGGGGGGCUGCAGUCGAGGAUCUUCGGCAAUGGGCGAAAGCCUGACCGAGCGACGCCGCGUGCGGGAUGAAGUCCUUCGGGUUGUAAACCGCUGUCGUAGAGGAGGAAAUGCAGGAGGGUUCUCCCUUCUGUUUGACCGAUUCUAGGAGGAAGGACGGGCUAAGUUCGUGCCAGCCGCCGCGGUAA
Molecule: ribosomal RNA, 482 nt
Filed under: uncultured bacterium
Lineage: Bacteria
Description: partial 16S ribosomal RNA
Rfam family: Bacterial small subunit ribosomal RNA
Source: RNAcentral